CUCUCCUCUCAAGCCUCUCCAUUGCUUGGAUGCUCCCUGCCAUGGUCGAAGACGUUGCCGCCGCCGGUGAGCCACGGUCCGACCGAGCCUUCCGGUGUGCACGUCAAGAUCGCGGGUGAAGCUAAGUCGAACACCGACGCCCCUCUCUCUCUCUCUUCUCAAGCUUCUCAUAAUUCGAGCUAAUAGUUCUUGCGAGCAAGAUACUGAUUCUACUACACCCAAUUCAUCUUCUUCUUCUUCGUCGGAGAAAAACGACGCGAAACAGGGGAGCAAAGGGGCGUCGAAUUCGAGCUCGUCGUCGCAACCGUCGUCGUCUUCUUCUUCUUCGCCGAGGAGAGAGAAAGAGGGUAAGAGUUGGUUUAAAGGUUUUGGGGGGAAAUGGCGGUGGCAGCCAUUGAUUCAAGCUCAAGAAAUUGGGGUUUUGAUUUUGUAAUGCAGUUUUCAUUUUUUUCUUGAAUUUAUGUAACUUUGUGGAUUUGUCUUGUUUUAAAUUGAUAUUACUCUUUAAUUUGUUCAUAAGUGCCUUCAUGGUGAUUGAAUUUUCUAUAGAAUUUGCCAUUGU
Chenopodium quinoa (quinoa) is the source of this 562-nucleotide long non-coding RNA. RefSeq lists it as uncharacterized. Lineage: Eukaryota; Viridiplantae; Streptophyta; Magnoliopsida; Caryophyllales; Amaranthaceae. The record is from RefSeq and is a predicted model, not a curated record. The transcript has 2 exons.